This 517-nucleotide ribosomal RNA is filed under the name uncultured bacterium. RNAcentral describes it as "bacterial SSU rRNA". It matches the Rfam family "Bacterial small subunit ribosomal RNA", at positions 416 to 924 of the family's 1533-position model. The record is from RNAcentral.
CUUCGGGUUGUAAAGCACUUUUAUCGGGAGCGAAAUACCAUUGGCUAAUAACCGAUGGGGCUGACGGUACCCGAGGAAUAAGCACCGGCUAACUUCGUGCCAGCAGCCGCGGUAAUACGAAGGGUGCAAGCGUUAAUCGGAAUUACUGGGCGUAAAGGGUGCGUAGGCGGUUAGUUAAGUCUGUUGUGAAAUCCCCGGGCUCAACCUGGGAAUGGCAAUGGAUACUGGCUAGCUAGAGUGUGUCAGAGGAUGGUGGAAUUUCCGGUGUAGCGGUGAAAUGCGUAGAGAUCGGAAGGAACAUCAGUGGCGAAGGCGGCCAUCUGGGACAACACUGACGCUGAAGCACGAAAGCGUGGGGAGCAAACAGGAUUAGAUACCCUGGUAGUCCACGCCCUAAACGAUGCGAACUGGAUGUUGGUCUCAACUCGGAGAUCAGUGUCGAAGCUAACGCGUUAAGUUCGCCGCCUGGGGAGUACGGUCGCAAGACUGAAACUCAAAGGAAUUGACGGAAUCACUA